This 253-nucleotide ribosomal RNA is filed under the name uncultured bacterium. RNAcentral describes it as "partial 16S ribosomal RNA". It matches the Rfam family "Bacterial small subunit ribosomal RNA", at positions 524 to 776 of the family's 1533-position model. The record is from RNAcentral.
UACGGAGGGUGCGAGCGUUGUCCGGAAUCACUGGGCGUAAAGGGCGCGUAGGCGGUCCACUAAGCGUGUGGUGAAAGUCCGGGGCUCAACCCCGGAUCGGCCGUGCGAACUGGGGGACUCGAGCACUGUAGAGGCGGGUGGAAUUCCGGGUGUAGCGGUGGAAUGCGUAGAGAUCCGGAAGAAGACCGGUGGCGAAGGCGGCCUGCUGGCGAGAACCUGACGCUGAGGCGCGACAGCGUGGGGAGCAAACAGG